This is a long non-coding RNA of Podarcis raffonei (Aeolian wall lizard), 1253 nucleotides long. RefSeq lists it as uncharacterized. The record is from RefSeq and is a predicted model, not a curated record. The transcript has 2 exons. NCBI's taxonomy places the organism in Eukaryota, Metazoa, Chordata, Lepidosauria, Squamata, Lacertidae.
UGUGCAGCAGGACUCCAACCAGGAGGGGCCCCUGCCUUGGCAGAAGGGAGAGCGUGAAGACGCAGGUGUGUUCAGCACAGGUGGCCUCUGACCUGCAUCCCAAAGCCCAGCUGCUCCCCUUCAGCCGUGCCCUCGGGAAGGGGGCAGCAUGUGGGGCAGGAGGAGGGGGAGGAGGAGGAAAGAGCCUCACUUGUCCAGGAGAAGAUGUUGACCUGCCCGCGGCUGCAAUGCACAAGUCUCUCUCUCUGCCACCUGCACUUUGGUCCCCAGGUGAGUUGGCAAUAAGGACGCUGCUGUCACCCAGGUGAGGCAAUGGGGACCUGGCUGAGCUCUCCUCCGGGCUCCAGGAAACUUAAAAAGUCAAGCCCAGCGGCUCCCAAACUCUGUGUGCCCAGAGGCACCCUCAGAUUUAUUUAUUUUGACCCCCAGCCAGGGCACUAGAGCUAAUCGCUCCAUCCCCAGCAACCAGCCUUGCUGGCCCUCGGCUCCUUCCCCUUGGCCCUCGUCCCAGUUCCGCCCUACCCUCUCAGCCCACGAGACAAAGGUUGGGGUGCCAGGAUCGAUUGGCCUGCCUGCCCGCCUCCCUCCUCCAAGCUCCCUCAGACGGAGACCUUUGCCCAUCCACCUUGUGACUGGCAGCGGCACCAGUGCCUCUCCAGGGAGGAAUUCCCUGCCUCGCCGGGAGAUGCUGCCCUGGGGGCUUGGCAGCUGGGCCCUUCUGCAUGCCAGGAGGGUAAAACAAGAAAUACAUGAGCAUAAAUAAAGUGUUUCUGAGCCGCAGUGCUGGGCAGAGCAGGGGUGGCCAUGAUCCCAGAAGCAGAAGAGCACCAACUUGGACCUUUUCCUCUCAGCUGCCAAUGGGCCACCUGACCUGAUAAAGGACAGACAGAAAAAUAAUACUGUAUACUCACCAUAUUGGCACAAGAGACUGGAUGAGCAGAACUGAGCUGACAUAACUGUAAUGCCAAAAGGAACGUAAAAUAUUUGCUCCGAGAGGAAAAGGCAGACAAUACACUGACACCUUGACUGACAGCUGACAGGUCAUGGCCUCAAAGGUCUGUCUGUCACUCCACCUGUUUUAAGGUGAAGAAUAAGGUUUGAAUGAAGCUUCUCUGAAAUGAAUUGUGGAGGGGAAAUGUAACUUCUAAAAGGAGUUACAUGCCUUUGUUUGGGGCUUAUUCUUUCCUGGCUUAGAGGUUGAAAUCUUAUCGCAAGAAUUAAGACAAGGCUUAAUAGCUGCUUCUUGCUUUCCU